Molecule: long non-coding RNA, 3033 nt
Filed under: Penaeus chinensis
Lineage: Eukaryota; Metazoa; Arthropoda; Malacostraca; Decapoda; Penaeidae
Description: uncharacterized LOC125036338, transcript variant X2
Source: RNAcentral
UAGUUGAAAUAUACUUAAUUCAUAAUGGAAAUGCAUUUAUUCCAUACUCUGAAUAUAGUCUAUCAAUUCAUACUUGUGCAAUAUGUUUUAAAUACAUCUAAUUCACAAGGGAAAACAGUUAAUGUAUAAGAUAUAUUCAGAUUAAACUCAAAAAGCUCUCAGCUUAUACAUCUAGUCUAUACAUUUGAACACAAUCAUUUGGAUUCAAUUCGAGCCCAAACAACAAAUGUGUGUGUCCUUUGUUAGGAGAAAAGAUAAAGGGUUGCGAACAAGGUGCAUGAACACCUGUCCAGCAGCAAACGCUUGUUCUAUUUCAUUUAGACUUUAGGACGGUAUUCAUAGUGAUGGAAAAUGGUAAAGCUUAUUCAAGACCGAUUAUAUAGAGGUAGCUAAUGCAUUUCUUCGCCAUUUUCUGUAUACCUAAUGAGCUAUCUAUUGUGUGAAGUAAGUUACAUGUAUGUAAACUAGAAGGGUGUUCUAUUUUCGGAGCGCCUAUGUGGAGCAUGAUUCAUAGAAGGUUCAAUGAAUUUCUCCUGACGUGCAAAUGUUCAGUAUCAUCUGUUGGACUAACACCUGCGUUGGUAGCUUACCUCCACGUCGACAGACGCCCACUAACACCAGCGCCGGGGCAAGCACCCUAGGGGUGUUAAACUCAUGACCAGCGGGUGGGUUUACACCAGGGGUUCAAACUCAUGUCAAAAAAGGGAAACUGAAGUUGGUCAUAAACGCUCCGCGGGAGAACAAGAAGAAUUAUUAGCUUGAGAAAAUGUAUCAUAAACUGUAACAACUCAUGACUAACGCAUAUACAAGUACAUACAACCAGACAGCUAUCAAGAAUGUGCCUAUAUAGCCGUCAAGAGGGGAGCUGAAACGAAAAUUGACCCUCGAAGGGUUGGAGUUUGACAUCCCUGACUUAACAUUUCUGAUUUAAAUGUAGCAUCACUGACAGAUCCCGGGUAGACACAUUAUGAUUCCAUAGGAUAUACCUUUGUUCUGUAUAAAGCUUGCAAUAUUCCUUUGCUUUUUUCCCCCUUUUCCGGCGAUUUGUAAGCCAAAAGUCGUUAUUUGUUUUCUAAUAUUGCUUGUUGAUUCUCUUUUCCUCCCUCUUCCAGAAAUUACUUAUUAUCAUCCUGGUACAAAGACCAGACGUUGCAUUACAAACAGGCGCAAUAUUGUUGGAUGGUGGCCAGUAGAUAUCUCUUUUCACACGCAGCAACCCUCUUCCGAACUUACGCGUGUGAAGAGAUUAAAAUCACUUCUCUUCUCAAGACGGGCCAUCACCAAUCCUCGUGAAUGGUGUCGUUGGAAAGGAUCGGAAUGCGUAUAACAAGGAAGUAUAAGAACUGACACCAAGCGCACCCUGUAGAAGGAAAUGCAAUCGCUGGCAAAGUGAAGCUGCGAAGUAGAAUAGCGUGAAGCCAGGGGUUGUGUGGUCGCUCUUGCACCGGGGACAACCAAACAGCACAAAGCAACCAUUCACCUGAAAGAGAUUUGAAAUUGUAAGGUCAUAAAUGAAGAGGCAGUGGCGGCGCAGCAUAAGUAGCGCAUAAGUAGUUGGUGCUGGAUUGCGAGAUGGAGUGUGGAAUUCGGAAAAGGCAUAAACAGGCAGAGCGUAAAAUCAAGUGGUGGAGGUAGAAGGAGAGUAACCUGAAAAUGGGUUUAAAAGAAACCGGGCUGGAACGUGCGAGGGAUUUGUUAUUAUUAUAAUCGUUAUAAUGAUACUACUGCUACUACUACUAUUACUACUACUACAACAACAACUGUGGUGGGAGUAAUAAGGGAGGUUGGACAAGUGUUAAGCAAACAUCUGGUAAGGGAGCCCAUAGAGGUAACGAAACUUGCUGGUGGUACAAAGAGGUGCAAAGGGUGACUAAUGAAAAGAAAGAGGCAAAGAAGAGAUGGGAGAAAUCUGGUUUGUAGGGAGAUUGAGAAGAGUGGAAGAGAGCAACCAAGAGGGCGAAAAAGGAGGUGGCAAUUGCGAAGUCGAGAAUGAGCUAGAAACACCGGGGGAGAAAGAAAUUUGUAUAGGACAGAGUAAGGGACAAAGCAUCAACACACAUGAGGCAGGUUAUAGAUCAGCAAGGAACAGUUUUGAAUGAAUAACUAGAGAAGUAAGGAAAGCUUUAAAGAAAACGAAAAACAACAAAGCCACAGUACCAGACAAUAUCCCGGCAAAAGUGUGGAAGAGUUUAGAACAUGUGGGAUCUGAUGCAAAAGACCUACCAGAAGAUACCACUAGAAUGGAAAGAUAGUGCAAUAGUUAGGAGACAUUACAGGGGUAUCAAAAUGAUGUCACGCACUAUGAAAAUUUGGGAAAGAAUAAUAGAGAGUAGGCUAAGAGAAGAAACAACCGUGGGAAACGAGCAGUUUGACUUCAUGUCAGAUAGAGGGAUGACAGACGCCAUCUUUGCACUUAGGCAAAUGAUAGAAAAGCAGAGAGAAGAGGGAUUUGCGUAUGGUCUUCGUGGACUUGGGAAGGGCGUAUGAUAAAGUGCCUAGGCAAGAAGCAUGGAGGUGCAUGAGGGAAAAGGGGGUAGCAGAAUAGUAUGUGAGAUUAGGCCAAGAUACGUAUGAGGGAGCAAAACCGAGAGUAAGAAGCAGUGUGGGAGUCGCAGGUUGGAUAUCCGUAAGAGUGGGAUGUUCUUUCUGAACAUCGUUUGCAGACGACAUAGUUAUCUGCUCUAACAAAAGAGGAGAGACCGAAAGGAAACUAGAGUAUUGGGGAAUGGCUUUGGAAGACAGACAAUUAAAAGUCGGUAGGAAGAAGACUGUGUGGGAUUCAUCUGCGAUAAAAGUGAGGGAAAGAUUACGCUGCUUGAUAACACCUUGAAAAGAGCUGGAACCAUUAAAUACCUCAGUUCAACAGUGGCGGAAAACCAAGGAUGAUAAUGUGAGAGGCGAUCUGAGAGAAAAGGGUUGGAGACAGGAGGGCCUGGAGGCAACUCAUCAAAAACGUCGAGUAAAAGAUUGUUUAUUAUUAUUAUCAUUAUUAUUAUUAUUGUUAUUGUUAUUGUUAUUGUUAUUGUUAUUGUU